AAAGGAAUAGACGGGGGCCCGCACAAGCGGAGGAGCAUGUGGUUUAAUUCGAUGAUACGCGAGGAACCUUACCCGGGCUCGAACGGUACAUGAAUUAUAUUGGAAACUGUAUAAGUCUUUCGGGACAUGUAUCGAGGUGCUGCAUGGUUGUCGUCAGCUCGUGCCGUGAGGUGUCAGGUUAAGUCCUAUAACGAGCGCAACCCCUAUAUUUAGUUACCAGCACGUAGUGGUGGGGACUCUAGAUAUACUGCCUACGCAAGUAGUGAGGAAGGUGGGGAUGACGUCAAAUCAGCACGGCCCUUAUGUCCGGGGCUACACACGUGCUACAAUGGUCAAAACAGCGGGCAGCUACUCAGUGAUGAGAUGCUAAUCCAUAAAAAUUGAUCACAGUUCGGAUCGAAGUCUGCAACUCGACUUCGUGAAGUUGGAUUCGCUAGUAAUCGCAUAUCAGCCAUGAUGCGGUGAAUACGUUCCCGGGCCUUGUACACACCGCCCGU
This 497-nucleotide ribosomal RNA is filed under the name uncultured bacterium. Its description in RNAcentral is "bacterial SSU rRNA". It matches the Rfam family "Bacterial small subunit ribosomal RNA", at positions 903 to 1397 of the family's 1533-position model. The record is from RNAcentral.